GGAUGUGACGGCAGUAUGGCUGUGACAUGUCAGCCCUUUGAUCACCCGUGUUGAGGCAGCUGAUCUGGCGGGCUCAAAAGGUAUCCUCUUUCUCCCUCACCGCUUCAGGUGCAUCCUUCCCAAAGCUACAUGCUGGGGAGGGGGGGCACCCACCCCUCAUAGAGAGGAGGGCUGGUUCCUUGGGCAAAGGUAUAUGAAUAGCUCUGCUCCCCUGCUAGAACCUUCAAACCUUUGUGCCCCUCUCCACCAAUACAUAUACUGCAGGCCCCAGCUUCUCAUACAGAGCUUCUGAUGCAUUUGAAGUAGGAUUU
This is an unclassified non-coding RNA of Cavia porcellus (domestic guinea pig), 311 nucleotides long. Its record names the gene 7SK. It matches the Rfam family "7SK RNA". Rfam says of the family: 7SK was discovered as an abundant small nuclear RNA in the mid-70s but a possible function has only recently been suggested. Two independent studies have found that 7SK RNA binds the CDK9/cyclin T complex (known as elongation factor P-TEFb). P-TEFb activates transcription by phosphorylating the C-terminal domain of RNA polymerase II. The record is from Ensembl. NCBI's taxonomy places the organism in Eukaryota, Metazoa, Chordata, Mammalia, Rodentia, Caviidae.